This 2901-nucleotide ribosomal RNA is filed under the name Escherichia coli. RNAcentral's name for it is "23S ribosomal RNA". It matches the Rfam family "Bacterial large subunit ribosomal RNA". The record is from RNAcentral. Lineage: Bacteria; Pseudomonadati; Pseudomonadota; Gammaproteobacteria; Enterobacterales; Enterobacteriaceae.
UUAAGCGACUAAGCGUACACGGUGGAUGCCCUGGCAGUCAGAGGCGAUGAAGGACGUGCUAAUCUGCGAUAAGCGUCGGUAAGGUGAUAUGAACCGUUAUAACCGGCGAUUUCCGAAUGGGGAAACCCAGUGUGAUUCGUCACACUAUCAUUAACUGAAUCCAUAGGUUAAUGAGGCGAACCGGGGGAACUGAAACAUCUAAGUACCCCGAGGAAAAGAAAUCAACCGAGAUUCCCCCAGUAGCGGCGAGCGAACGGGGAGGAGCCCAGAGCCUGAAUCAGUGUGUGUGUUAGUGGAAGCGUCUGGAAAGGCGCGCGAUACAGGGUGACAGCCCCGUACACAAAAAUGCACAUGCUGUGAGCUCGAUGAGUAGGGCGGGACACGUGGUAUCCUGUCUGAAUAUGGGGGGACCAUCCUCCAAGGCUAAAUACUCCUGACUGACCGAUAGUGAACCAGUACCGUGAGGGAAAGGCGAAAAGAACCCCGGCGAGGGGAGUGAAAAAGAACCUGAAACCGUGUACGUACAAGCAGUGGGAGCACGCUUAGGCGUGUGACUGCGUACCUUUUGUAUAAUGGGUCAGCGACUUAUAUUCUGUAGCAAGGUUAACCGAAUAGGGGAGCCGAAGGGAAACCGAGUCUUAACUGGGCGUUAAGUUGCAGGGUAUAGACCCGAAACCCGGUGAUCUAGCCAUGGGCAGGUUGAAGGUUGGGUAACACUAACUGGAGGACCGAACCGACUAAUGUUGAAAAAUUAGCGGAUGACUUGUGGCUGGGGGUGAAAGGCCAAUCAAACCGGGAGAUAGCUGGUUCUCCCCGAAAGCUAUUUAGGUAGCGCCUCGUGAAUUCAUCUCCGGGGGUAGAGCACUGUUUCGGCAAGGGGGUCAUCCCGACUUACCAACCCGAUGCAAACUGCGAAUACCGGAGAAUGUUAUCACGGGAGACACACGGCGGGUGCUAACGUCCGUCGUGAAGAGGGAAACAACCCAGACCGCCAGCUAAGGUCCCAAAGUCAUGGUUAAGUGGGAAACGAUGUGGGAAGGCCCAGACAGCCAGGAUGUUGGCUUAGAAGCAGCCAUCAUUUAAAGAAAGCGUAAUAGCUCACUGGUCGAGUCGGCCUGCGCGGAAGAUGUAACGGGGCUAAACCAUGCACCGAAGCUGCGGCAGCGACGCUUAUGCGUUGUUGGGUAGGGGAGCGUUCUGUAAGCCUGUGAAGGUGUACUGUGAGGUAUGCUGGAGGUAUCAGAAGUGCGAAUGCUGACAUAAGUAACGAUAAAGCGGGUGAAAAGCCCGCUCGCCGGAAGACCAAGGGUUCCUGUCCAACGUUAAUCGGGGCAGGGUGAGUCGACCCCUAAGGCGAGGCCGAAAGGCGUAGUCGAUGGGAAACAGGUUAAUAUUCCUGUACUUGGUGUUACUGCGAAGGGGGGACGGAGAAGGCUAUGUUGGCCGGGCGACGGUUGUCCCGGUUUAAGCGUGUAGGCUGGUUUUCCAGGCAAAUCCGGAAAAUCAAGGCUGAGGCGUGAUGACGAGGCACUACGGUGCUGAAGCAACAAAUGCCCUGCUUCCAGGAAAAGCCUCUAAGCAUCAGGUAACAUCAAAUCGUACCCCAAACCGACACAGGUGGUCAGGUAGAGAAUACCAAGGCGCUUGAGAGAACUCGGGUGAAGGAACUAGGCAAAAUGGUGCCGUAACUUCGGGAGAAGGCACGCUGAUAUGUAGGUGAAGUCCCUCGCGGAUGGAGCUGAAAUCAGUCGAAGAUACCAGCUGGCUGCAACUGUUUAUUAAAAACACAGCACUGUGCAAACACGAAAGUGGACGUAUACGGUGUGACGCCUGCCCGGUGCCGGAAGGUUAAUUGAUGGGGUCAGCGCAAGCGAAGCUCUUGAUCGAAGCCCCGGUAAACGGCGGCCGUAACUAUAACGGUCCUAAGGUAGCGAAAUUCCUUGUCGGGUAAGUUCCGACCUGCACGAAUGGCGUAAUGAUGGCCAGGCUGUCUCCACCCGAGACUCAGUGAAAUUGAACUCGCUGUGAAGAUGCAGUGUACCCGCGGCAAGACGGAAAGACCCCGUGAACCUUUACUAUAGCUUGACACUGAACAUUGAGCCUUGAUGUGUAGGAUAGGUGGGAGGCUUUGAAGUGUGGACGCCAGUCUGCAUGGAGCCGACCUUGAAAUACCACCCUUUAAUGUUUGAUGUUCUAACGUUGACCCGUGAUCCGGGUUGCGGACAGUGUCUGGUGGGUAGUUUGACUGGGGCGGUCUCCUCCUAAAGAGUAACGGAGGAGCACGAAGGUUGGCUAAUCCUGGUCGGACAUCAGGAGGUUAGUGCAAUGGCAUAAGCCAGCUUGACUGCGAGCGUGACGGCGCGAGCAGGUGCGAAAGCAGGUCAUAGUGAUCCGGUGGUUCUGAAUGGAAGGGCCAUCGCUCAACGGAUAAAAGGUACUCCGGGGAUAACAGGCUGAUACCGCCCAAGAGUUCAUAUCGACGGCGGUGUUUGGCACCUCGAUGUCGGCUCAUCACAUCCUGGGGCUGAAGUAGGUCCCAAGGGUAUGGCUGUUCGCCAUUUAAAGUGGUACGCGAGCUGGGUUUAGAACGUCGUGAGACAGUUCGGUCCCUAUCUGCCGUGGGCGCUGGAGAACUGAGGGGGGCUGCUCCUAGUACGAGAGGACCGGAGUGGACGCAUCACUGGUGUUCGGGUUGUCAUGCCAAUGGCACUGCCCGGUAGCUAAAUGCGGAAGAGAUAAGUGCUGAAAGCAUCUAAGCACGAAACUUGCCCCGAGAUGAGUUCUCCCUGACUCCUUGAGAGUCCUGAAGGAACGUUGAAGACGACGACGUUGAUAGGCCGGGUGUGUAAGCGCAGCGAUGCGUUGAGCUAACCGGUACUAAUGAACCGUGAGGCUUAACCU